This is an RNA transcript of Cinclus cinclus, 6527 nucleotides long. It is a transcript of the gene named activating transcription factor 2, with no coding region annotated. The transcript has 13 exons. The record is from RefSeq and is a predicted model, not a curated record. Lineage: Eukaryota; Metazoa; Chordata; Aves; Passeriformes; Cinclidae.
UUAACUUUAGACAUCAGAUUCUAGCAGUUGACUAAUAAUAUCAGCAAAAAGUGGCUAACGUCUGAUUUUUUUAAAAGAAAAAAAUUGAGCCUUAUGCUAGCAGUGUAAUUGGAGAAGGAGCUCCUGUUUUCCUGUUUGCCAGCUAUUGCUGGUUAAGAACUUUAGAUAUUCUGGACUAUGGUUUAUGGUUUUCUUGCAGAAUCUACAAGGUUACUUUCUGCCAAUCCCACUUUCAUUAUGAGGGGGAAUGUUUUAAUUUUUCAAGUUCUGUCCCCUCCUUCAGUUUUAUUAUUUAGGAAUGCCAAAUUUAACAGUGUUGCACAAAUACAGUCAAAUUACUUCCAGACGUGCCCUUUAAUGGUCAGGUAUUAAUUACACUGCUUUUCCUUCACCUUUCUUCUUUUGCUUUAUAGGGAACAGAAAAUAUAGCUCCAGUCUCUCCAGUUACAGUUCAUUGCCAUGAAAAGGAGGAUAUGAUAGUUUGCCCUAUGAAACAGGUUUACAAGUGAAAUCUGGCAGGUAGCACAACGACCUGUGGAAUAUGAGUGAUGACAAACCCUUUUUAUGUACUGCCCCUGGAUGUGGCCAGCGUUUUACCAAUGAGGAUCAUUUGGCUGUCCAUAAACAUAAACAUGAGAUGACACUGAAAUUUGGUCCAGCUCGUAAUGAUAGUGUCAUUGUGGCAGAUCAGACACCAACACCAACUCGAUUCUUGAAGAACUGUGAAGAAGUGGGCUUAUUCAAUGAAUUAGCAAGUCCUUUUGAGAAUGAAUUUAAAAAGGCUUCUGAAGAUGACAUUAAGAAAAUGCCUCUAGAUCUGUCUCCUCUUGCAACACCAAUUAUAAGAAAUAAAAUUGAAGAACCUUCAGUUGUAGAGACAACUCAUCAAGAUAGUCCUUUACCUCAUCCAGAGUCUACAACCAAUGAUGAAAAGGAGGUGUCACUGCAGCAGACUGCACAGCCUACAUCAACAAUAGUUCGUCCAGCAUCGCUGCAGGUUCCUAAUGUACUGCUUACGAGUUCUGACUCAAGUGUUAUUAUUCAGCAGGCAAUACCCUCACCAACUUCUAGUACUGUUAUCACCCAAGCUCCAUCAUCUAACAGACCAAUAGUUCCAGUUCCAGGUCCUUUUCCUCUGCUGUUACAUCUUCCUAAUGGACAAACCAUGCCUGUUGCUAUUCCUGCAUCUAUCACAAAUUCUAAUGUGCAUGUCCCUGCUGCAGUUCCACUUGUUAGACCUGUCACCAUGGUGCCUAGUAUCCCAGGAAUCCCAGGGCCUUCCUCCCCACAGCCAGUGCAGUCUGAGGCUAAAUUGAGAUUGAAAGCAGCCUUGACCCAGCAGCACCCUCAGGUAACAAAUGGAGAUACUGCCAAGGGACAUGCAAGUGGGUUGGUUAGGACUCAGUCAGAGGAGCCACGGCCACAGUCACUACAGCAGCCUGCAACUUCAACAACUGAAACGCCGGCAUCACCAGCUCAGCCCACACCACAAACACCAAAUACAGGCGGUCGGCGAAGAAGAGCUGCCAAUGAAGACCCUGAUGAGAAAAGGAGAAAGUUCCUGGAGAGAAACCGAGCUGCUGCUUCCAGGUGCCGACAGAAACGGAAAGUCUGGGUGCAGUCAUUGGAGAAAAAAGCUGAGGACCUGAGCUCACUGAAUGGCCAGUUACAGAGCUGUUCACUGAAUCAGAUUCACAGAUCAUCAUCUUCCUAUGAGAACUCACCUCUCGUGCUGUUCAGUAUAGAAAACAUCACAAUUUGAUCAACAGGAAAGUAGGGCAUGUUGAGGUUAUCUUUUAUCAUGUAAUCAAAAUUACAGUAUAUCAAUCAUCUUCAUUUUUAUGUCUUUAAAAAUACUCGGCAUCCUGGACCCUGAAAAUUAAAAGAUUUCUACUAAGCACACACUGUAAAAUGGUUUCCUGUGUUCCAAGAAUCAUGACACUCUACACAAGCAUUAGUUAAAUUUCUUGCAAAUACGUAUUCUUCUCAAAGUUGUUCACAGUCUUUAGACAUAUUCAUUUAAUGCACAGUCCUCAAUGAACUCCAUUAAUUACAUAAUUAUAUAUAGCACUGUAGCUUAAAUAAUCAAAGAAGGCAGUGAAGAAGAAUGAAAAAAAUUCAGCCAUAAUUCAGUUCUUCAAUGAAAGUAAUGUUUGGCAUCAUGUGAAUGCCUUUCACAUACACAUACCAAGUUUUGUAAAAUAAAAAUUAUGUAAGUACCAUAAACAAAAUGUUUCCAAGUGCUAAUUCAGUAAUAGUGAAUUCAAGCGAGAUUUUCUUAGUCUCCCAAAAGAAAAUCUGUUAACUGUUAAGAAUAGAGUAACUUGAAAAGAAAAUUGGAUAUCAGAGAAAUAAUUACACUGUACUUCAUGUGAAAACAUUAAUCAACCCUAUAUUUCCAUAAUAAUAACUUGACAGGCUAACACAGCUGGUCAGCAGAGUGGGCAGUAAUGACCCAUGAGUACUUACUUUAUAUUUAAUAGAAAAUUUCAUGUGUUUGGAGUUUUGCCUUAAUGCAGGUUUAUAGACAGUGUUUGGGUUAGUAGUUGUUUAAUGUUUAAGUGGCCUGCUCAGCUGAAAUUACCAAGAUGUCACAUUUCCAGAGGCAGGUUCAUACUGAAAUGCCUGCAUUGCAUUGCUUCAUGUAACAAUUCUGACUCCUAUUACUGGCUUUCUUGUAAUGCCUGUGUCAGAGAUUCCCAUGUCAGUGUAAAGGUUUUUAAGACUGGAAGCUCACUAACAGUACAUAUGGAUUUUGAAGAGGUUUACUUGGUUGGUGUAUUUAUUUUGUUCUGUAGAUUAACUUUUGUCAAGUUCUUUUAAAUGUUUGAAAGUAACUUCAUUUUUUAAGCAGUAUUUUUCAAAUAUUUGUUUAAGGGAAAUUUUCAAUCUAUUCUAUCACUAUUAACAUACAUAGGUUAGGUAGGCUGUCUUUAGUAUAGGCUCUGCUGUGUAAGUUGUCUUCAUGCUUCCUACAUUUUGAAGUUAAUUUACUGUUUUGAGGACUGUGUUUUCUAUUAAUUGUUAACUUGUUUAUUGAUUUUAAAUUUUAUUCACCACCUUGUGUUGCCUCUGUGCCUUGCACAGUCCUGCAGGGUGUAAGAAGGUAUUGACAAUGUCUACAGUGGCCACUGAGCCACACUGCAGGAUCAGAUGACAAAGUGCAUUCAUUAUAUAUCCUGUAUUUGGUCCAUGUUGCUUUAAUAGUCUUAGAGGGUGAAGCUUUAGAAGAAUGGCCUGUGUCUCUCAUGAGGUCACAGUGGAUUUUCAGUGAGCAGCAAUUGAGUGAUGGCUUGUAGUGAUGCUGCAGAAGCUGUUUAGGAAGGCUAAAUUAUGCAAGUAUGCCCAUUCUUUCCCAUAGAGGAAGUUACCCAAAAAGAAACAGGAAGAAUGCUGUUUAACUCAGCCACAGACAAUCCCCUAUCCCCAGAAGUCACAUUUACCUGCCUCUGAUGACACUUGGAGUAAUAACAUAUCACAAAUGUUGUCCCACACCAUGCUGAGUAAGGGCUGAUGUGGUCCCAUGGUCCCACUAUUACAUCUGCAUUUUGGGUGCAGGGAGGAACAGGCUGAUACAGAAGAAUGUGUCAUAUACUGUGUCUUCCCUUCAUGGGAAUGCAGAAGGGAAAGCAUCUUUUCAAAGACGGAGUGCAGGUACAAGUCAAUACACUUUCCUCCAGAAACCUGCUUUCUCAUGCUAGCACGUCUUGAAAUGUGGGAACAUAGAAAUUCUCAGCAGCAUGUGAGCUAUAUUACAUUAUAUUACAAUUCUUUAAGGAAUUGUUGAUGCCUGCACUUGGUUCUAUCUCACUAAUGAGGAGAGCCUUUCCCGUGUGAAAAUUUGAAAUUGUCUUUGUGCCACCUGUUACAAGUGUUUAUUUAAUGUGUUUCUUGGUAGCCUGUUUUCAAUAUGUUAGCCACAUAUUAAAUGACUACCACACAUUCACAUGUUUUGAAUGAGAUGGAAAGACUUGCUGUUGUCAUAAGCAAGAUAAUUAACUGCAAUAUGUAUAAGAAUAGGUUCUAAGCAGCCCCCCUUUACCAGUUGGAAGUGGUUCUUACUGGUAAUACAUAAAUGGCAGCCAUAGAUUGCCUUCCUGUGACAUUCCCCAUCCAUGUGUCUAGCAGACAGAACUCUGUUCUAGUGUCAGGAGUGGUGUGUGCAUUGUACAUAGUACAGUUGGCACAAGUGUUCUUGUUAUGGAAUAUACAACUACCAUUGUUCUAGAGAUUGCCUCAGUCUCUUUUAUAUAGGAAUGCUGAUCCAUGUUUUUCAAGUUUGCUUUAUUGUAAGAUAAUGUACUUGCCUUUUGUAUUUAUGUUAGCAGUAGUCUUAAUAUUUUUAAAACAGCUGACAUUGAUCUGUAAACUCUUACAGAAAUUUUUCAUAAACAUAUAAUCUUACUUCCACAGAUGAACAGUAACUUCAUACUUACAUGUGCUGUUUGUAUGUAAAAUUCUUCCUUAAAACAUGGGAGACAAGAUUGGCAAUCAGGAAGAGGUUUGCAGAAAUUUUCUGAGUUCCUUUGAACAGACAGCACUGUAUUUCAUGGACACUGUUGCUUCUGUAGGUUAUCAAGUGUCUUAAAACUACAUCAGUGUGGUUUUUUUUCUACCCACUCUGUGUCAAUUCUGUUCAGCUGCCUGUGUGGUAUCAAGAUUUGUGGCUCUUCAGUAAAUUACAUGGUGAACUAAGGGCAGACAGAGCUGGAGGCAGUAGUCCUGUGCUUUCUUAACAGCCUGUUUCAGGACAUGUAAUGCCACCUGGUAGAGAAUUUGGGGAGCUUUUGGUUGGGUUUCUUUCGUUGCAAACCUUUUUGUUUGCGGUCACAUUUUUCUUCCAUUAUAAAAGUCUGAAGUCAGAGUUUUGGGCAUAUUUCAGGUUUUGCUUUUAAUAAAAAGUUUCUAAAGAGUAUUCUACACGUAAAAGGACUGAAUAGAAAAGGAGACCUCAAGAGGAUUUUGCAGGUAAAAGGCUUGAAAUUUGUUGUCUUCUAAAUGGAGACAGAGAGAAGACACAAAACAGGAGCUUUACUUUGAACAGUAUGAUAUUUUAGUUACUUUGUGUAAUUAAACCUAACAAGUUCUGUUCUGGAAGAAUUCAUUUCUUUUGGAAUCCUUUAACUUGUAAUUCAUCUCGUCUCUGACUGCAUUGCCUUAUUUCUCGCUUGCAAGUAAAUAGGUUGACUUUCUUCUAGUUUAUUUUGCAGAUAAUUUCAGAUGCAAUUCAGUUUUCCUCUGUUGGCUUUUUUCUUUAGCUUGCUCCUAAAUGCAUAAACAUAAGCAUUUACUAAACAAUUAUGUCACGUGUCAUAUAUUACAAUAAUUCUUAUACUUGGAAGUAACUUCAAGUGUUAACAGAAAAUAUUUAUAUCCAAAAUAAAAUAACCCAUUAAAAACACAUAUUGUGUCCAGAUAUGGGGAUCAUAAACCCUUAUAAAUAAUUUGAUUCAUAAAUAUUUUUCUACUCUACAAAGUAAAAAUGGGUCUAUCAGAAUGCCAUAUCAUUCUUAAUUUGGAUUGUCACAUGCAAUGCAGUUACCUAGCACUCCUCAUCUCUAGACACCAAGCUGCUUUCCAGGAAAGGUAAGUAUUGCUGUCCUCCAGUUUACAAAUGGGGAAGGUGAAGCACAAAGCAGUGAAAUGAUCUUGCUCAAGGUCACCCAAUAGUGGAAAGGAAGUCUGGAAAUGAAGCCGGGCACUGGACUGUGCAGGUGCUGUCUCUUAGAUUGCACUCUGCUUCAGCAACAUGAGCUGGCAUCUCCGGAUUUUGUCAUUAUUAUCAAUGAUUCCUUCAGAGAAUAUGUUUAUGUAUGGCUGCCAAAAUAAGAAUCAGUCUGGAGAUCAACCAAUAUUUGCUACAUUAUUUUACAGUACGUAAGAUUUUCUUUUUUGAAGUCCAAGUAUAAAUAGAGUGACUGAAAAAUAAUUCUGCAUUGGCUUUUUGAAUUUUCUUUUAUAUUUUUCCCUUUUUUAAUGUUGGCUGUGACAUCUGUUAAAAUGUGUGUAGCUAAAUGUAGGUUUACUCUGAUUAGAAUUCAUCACAAACCCUUCCAGAAGAGUCUCUCAGUAGCUGGAUCAUGUGAAUGAGACUAUAUGUAGACUCUGCAUCUGCAAACUGAAAAACAUAUGUUGUAUUUUUUUUUUAAAACCCAAGCAUUUCCCAGUUAAUGUAACAAAGCUAGCCAAGUUUCAGCUAAUAUUUGCAUUUUCUAAGAUAAAAUAAAAAUAUACGUAUUUGCAAUAUAUACCGAAUGGAAAUUUCGUGUAUUUCAGCUACCCCUAAAUGAACAACUGAAAAUCCUAUAAAACCUAAUGCUUACCUUCAAAACGUGUGUAGUUUGAUCCUGGUAAAGUACAUAACUUUCUUCUCCUUUAGAAUGAAGUCACCCUGCUGAGAAAUGAAGUGGCACAGCUGAAACAGCUUCUUCUGGCUCAUAAAGAUUGCCCUGUAACUGCCAUGCAGAAGAAAUCUGGCUAUCAUACUGCAGAUAAAGACGACAGCUCGGAGGACAUCUCGGUGCCCA